RNAcentral lists this ribosomal RNA (512 nucleotides) under uncultured bacterium. Its description in RNAcentral is "partial 16S ribosomal RNA". It matches the Rfam family "Bacterial small subunit ribosomal RNA", at positions 28 to 507 of the family's 1533-position model. The record is from RNAcentral.
GAUGAACGCUGGCGGCGUGCCUAAUACAUGCAAGUCGAACGAAACUUCUUUAUCACCUAGUGCUUGCACUCACCGAUAAAGAGUUGAGUGGCGAACGGGUGAGUAACACGUGGGCAACCUGCCCAAAAGAGGGGUAUAACACUUGGAAACAGGUGCUAAUACCGCAUAACCAUAGUUACCGCAUGGUAACUAUGUAAAAGGUGGCUAUACUACCGCUUUUGGAUGGGCCCGCGGCGCAUUAGCUAGUUGGUAGGGUAAAGGCUUACCAAGGCAAUGAUGCGUAGCCGAAUUGAGAGGUUGAUCGGCCACAUUGGGACUGAGACACGGCCCAAACUCCUACGGGAGGCAGCAGUAGGGAAUCUUCCACAAUGGGCGAAAGCCUGAUGGAGCAACGCCGCGUGGGUGAAGAAGGUCUUCGGAUCGUAAAACCCUGUUGUUAGAGAAGAAAGUGCGUGAGAGUAACUGUUCACGUUUCGACGGUAUCUAACCAGAAAGCCACGGCUAACUACGUG